This 240-nucleotide unclassified non-coding RNA is filed under the name soil metagenome. RNAcentral's name for it is "partial contains 5.8S ribosomal RNA, internal transcribed spacer 2, and large subunit ribosomal RNA". The record is from RNAcentral.
AACCUAGCACACCUGCGGUGUGUACCUGCGGAAGGAUCAUUACCAAUUAUAUAUGUUAGUUUGCCUGUGGCUUCGGUCACUGGUAUUAACUACUAUGUAAACGUUGAACUAGAUCAAUUGGUGUGGAUUGCUUGGGAAUGGACGAAGCGACAAGCCUCUUCCGGACAGGCAAGCCCCACACUGAUAACCUUUUUCAUAUCAUUUACUCGUAUAUACUACCACAACAAAAAAAAACAAAAG